CAGUGCAUCUGGACUUGGUUCAAGUGGCACCAGCCAAAUCCCUGCCUUACUGACCUCUCCCCUGGAGGAGCAGGAGCAGCGCUCAAGGCCGCCCUGGGAGGGCUGAGAGGCAGGCUCUGGACUGGGGACACAGGGAUAGCUGAGCCCCAGCUGGGGGUGGAAGCUGAGCCAGGGACAGUCACAGAGGAACAAGAUCAAGAUGCGCUUUAACUGAGAAGCCCCCAAGGCAGAGGCUGAGAAUCAGAAGACAUUUCAGCAGACAUCUACAAAUCUGAAGGACAAAACAUGGUUCAAGCAUCUGGGCACAGGCGUAGAAAUGGGGUUUCGCCAUGUUCGCCAG
This 340-nucleotide long non-coding RNA is filed under the name Homo sapiens (human). RNAcentral's name for it is "HSALNT0352450". Lineage: Eukaryota; Metazoa; Chordata; Mammalia; Primates; Hominidae. The record is from RNAcentral.